UACGGAGGGUGCGAGCGUUGUCCGGAAUCACUGGGCGUAAAGGGCGCGUAGGCGGCCUGAUAAGUCGGGGGUGAAAUCCUGCGGCUUAACCGCAGGGCUGCCUUCUAAACUGUCAGGCUAGAGCACAGUAGAGGCAGGUGGAAUUCCCGGUGUAGCGGUGGAAUGCGUAGAGAUCGGGAAGAACAUCAGUGGCGAAGGCGGCCUGCUGGGCUGUUGCUGACACUGAGGCGCGACAGCGUGGGGAGCAAACAGG
This 253-nucleotide ribosomal RNA is filed under the name uncultured bacterium. RNAcentral describes it as "partial 16S ribosomal RNA". It matches the Rfam family "Bacterial small subunit ribosomal RNA", at positions 524 to 776 of the family's 1533-position model. The record is from RNAcentral.